GCAAGUCGAACGCUUCUUUCCUCCCGAGUGCUUGCACUCAAUUGGAAAGAGGAGUGGCGGACGGGCGAGUAACACGUGGGUAACCUACCCAUCAGAGGGGGAUAACACUUGGAAACAGGUGCUAAUACCGCAUAACAGUUUAUGCCGCAUGGCAUAAGAGUGAAAGGCGCUUUCGGGUGUCGCUGGUGGAUGGACCCGCGGUGCAUUAGCUAGUUGGUGAGGUAACGGCUCACCAAGGCCACGAUGCAUAGCCGACCUGAGAGGGUGAUCGGCCACACUGGGACUGAGACACGGCCCAGACUCCUACGGGAGGCAGCAGUAGGGAAUCUUCGGCAAUGGACGAAAGUCUGACCGAGCAACGCCGCGUGAGUGAAGAAGGUUUUCGGAUCGUAAAACUCUGUUGUUAGAGAAGAACAAGGACGUUAGUAACUGAACGUCCCCUGACGGUAUCUAACCAGAAAGCCACGGCUAACUACGUGCCAGCAGCCGCGGUAAUACGUAGGUGGCAAGCGUUGUCCGGAUUUAUUGGGCGUAAAGCGAGCGCAGGCGGUUUCUUAAGUCUGAUGUGAAAGCCCCCGGCUCAACCGGGGAGGGUCAUUGGAAACUGGGAGACUUGAGUGCAGAAGAGGAGAGUGGAAUUCCAUGUGUAGCGGUGAAAUGCGUAGAUAUAUGGAGGAACACCAGUGGCGAAGGCGGCUCUCUGGUCUGUAACU
RNAcentral lists this ribosomal RNA (713 nucleotides) under uncultured Bacilli bacterium. RNAcentral's name for it is "bacterial SSU rRNA". It matches the Rfam family "Bacterial small subunit ribosomal RNA", at positions 57 to 741 of the family's 1533-position model. Lineage: Bacteria; Bacillati; Bacillota; Bacilli. The record is from RNAcentral.